Small nuclear RNA from Medicago truncatula (barrel medic), 193 nucleotides. It matches the Rfam family "U2 spliceosomal RNA". Rfam says of the family: U2 is a small nuclear RNA (snRNA) component of the spliceosome (involved in pre-mRNA splicing). Complementary binding between U2 snRNA (in an area lying towards the 5' end but 3' to hairpin I) and the branchpoint sequence (BPS) of the intron results the bulging out of an unpaired adenosine, on the BPS, which initiates a nucleophilic attack at the intronic 5' splice site, thus starting the first of two transesterification reactions that mediate splicing. The record is from Rfam. NCBI's taxonomy places the organism in Eukaryota, Viridiplantae, Streptophyta, Magnoliopsida, Fabales, Fabaceae.
AUACUUUUCUCGGCCGUUUUCUAAGAUCAAGUGUAGUAUUUGUUCUUAUUAUCUUAAUAUUUGAUAGUGGUCUAAUGGGUCAAACGAUAUUAAAUUACUUUUUUGAAGGGAAAAAGUCAUCACAAGAGCUUGCUAAUGGGCUUCUCGUGUGUCGCUUAUGUGUUGCACUAUUGCAUCGGUUGGCGCACCCCAC